UUAGGAGUUACAAAAUUGAUUAUUUGUAUAAAUGGGGUAAUAAAAUGGAGAAAAGUGAAAAAUGUUAGGAAAAGGGAGGUGGCCGGCCUCUUAGUAGUUUUAGGUGUGAAUGGGUGUUUUAAUUGAUAAUUAAGGGAUUGAUUAGGUAAUUAAUCCCUUAAUUAAUCAAUUUUUAGGGAAUAUGAAAGGAAAAUAUCAUUUAGCUAAUUGAUUAGCUAAAUAAUGGAAUACAAAAUAUAAUAGAAUAAAUUAGGUUUUAGGAAUUACCUUAUAGAAAGGAUUUGAUGAAAUAGGCUUUAAAUUGUUACCGAUUUUGGGCACUUUUGACUUGGUUUAGGGAUGAUUGUCCGCUGCUCGCGCGUAGGAAUCCUAGUAUGCCUCAAGGGUAUUUUUGUCCUUUUUUACUCAAGAAUCCACGUGUCGCCUUGUGAUUAUUUUUGGCUCCACAAAUACCCCCACACACGUUGAGCUGCUCGUAGGAAAGGGCAGCAGGUGUAGAGAUCAUCUUGCUUUAGGAAACGUGGGACUGCUUCCUAUUUUAAUGUAGAUUCUCUCUUUAAUAGGAAAUUAGAUCCUUCUAGGAAAGGGAAAUAAAUUUCUCUCAAAGCCUAUUUAAGUCCACCUUAAGUGGGUUAUUAAAUCAAUUUUGGAGAACGAUUUAUUCUACCCUACAAGAGAGAGAUAGCUUAGAGGAUAUUUGUUCCCCCUCCUCUAGCAAUUUUCUACAUCUUGCCCGUGCAAAGGACCGUCUUUCAUUGCUUUCUUCGUCUUCUUCAUACCGCACUGAGGUAAGAAAAAAUUAAUUUUCCUUGUCUUCUUCUUGGAUGGUGCUACCUCGG
RNAcentral lists this long non-coding RNA (839 nucleotides) under Malus domestica (apple). RNAcentral's name for it is "long non-coding RNA (MDOM_LNC015657)". The record is from RNAcentral. Lineage: Eukaryota; Viridiplantae; Streptophyta; Magnoliopsida; Rosales; Rosaceae.